GAUGAACGCUGGCGGCGUGCUUAACACAUGCAAGUCGAACGGUGAACACGGAGCUUGCUCUGUGGGAUUAGUGGCGAACGGGUGAGUAACACGUGAGCAACCUGCCCCUGACUCUGGGAUAAGCGCUGGAAACGGCGUCUAAUACUGGAUAUGUGACGUGACCGCAUGGUCUGCGUUUGGAAAGAUUUUUCGGUUGGGGAUGGGCUCGCGGCCUAUCAGCUUGUUGGUGAGGUAAUGGCUCACCAAGGCGUCGACGGGUAGCCGGCCUGAGAGGGUGACCGGCCACACUGGGACUGAGACACGGCCCAGACUCCUACGGGAGGCAGCAGUGGGGAAUAUUGCACAAUGGGCGCAAGCCUGAUGCAGCAACGCCGCGUGAGGGAUGACGGCCUUCGGGUUGUAAACCUCUUUUAGCAGGGAAGAAGCGAAAGUGACGGUACCUGCAGAAAAAGCGCCGGCUAACUACGUG
Molecule: ribosomal RNA, 469 nt
Filed under: uncultured bacterium
Lineage: Bacteria
Description: partial 16S ribosomal RNA
Rfam family: Bacterial small subunit ribosomal RNA
Source: RNAcentral